Molecule: non-coding RNA, 30 nt
Filed under: Cricetulus griseus (Chinese hamster)
Lineage: Eukaryota; Metazoa; Chordata; Mammalia; Rodentia; Cricetidae
Source: RNAcentral
UGUGAUACUCACAUUUCUCUGUGGCCUAGA